GGACCCGCACAAGCAGCGGAGCAUGUGGUUUAAUUCGAAGCAACGCGAAGAACCUUACCAGGGCUUGACAUCCCUCUGACGGAUCGGGUAAUGCUGAUCCUCUCUUCGGAGCAGAGGUGACAGGUGGUGCAUGGUUGUCGUCAGCUCGUGUCGUGAGAUGUUGGGUCAAGUCCCGCAACGAGCGCAACCCCUGUCAUUAGUUGCCAUCAUCAAGUUGGGCACUCUAAUGAGACUGCCGGGGACAACCCGGAGGAAGGCGGGGAUGACGUCAAAUCAUCAUGCCCCUUAUGUCCUGGGCGACACACGUGCUACAAUGGCCGGCACAGAGGGACGCCAAACCGUGAGGUGGAGCAAAACCCCAAAGCCGGCCCCAGUUCGGACUGCAGGCUGAAACCCGCCUGCACGAAGCCGGAGUUGCUAGUAAUCGCGGAUCAGAAUGCCGCGGUGAAUGCGUUCCCGGGUCUU
RNAcentral lists this ribosomal RNA (465 nucleotides) under uncultured bacterium. RNAcentral describes it as "bacterial SSU rRNA". It matches the Rfam family "Bacterial small subunit ribosomal RNA", at positions 917 to 1382 of the family's 1533-position model. The record is from RNAcentral.